ACCGAAUUGGUGUAAUGGCAGCACGCCUGACUUUGACUCGGGAGAUCGCGGUUUAAAUCCUUGAUUCGGUGCCA
RNAcentral lists this transfer RNA (74 nucleotides) under Blautia sp. RNAcentral describes it as "tRNA-Gln". It matches the Rfam family "tRNA". From Rfam's summary of the family: Transfer RNA (tRNA) molecules are approximately 80 nucleotides in length. Their secondary structure includes four short double-helical elements and three loops (D, anti-codon, and T loops). RNAcentral also lists the same sequence under 1 other name. The record is from RNAcentral. Lineage: Bacteria; Bacillati; Bacillota; Clostridia; Lachnospirales; Lachnospiraceae.